UCUGGUGAUAUCCCGCAGUGGACCCACCCGUUCCCAUCCCGAACACGGAAGUGAAACGCUGCAAAGCCGAUGAUAGCCUGACGAAAGGUCAUGCAAAAGUAGGCAGUCGCCAGUU
This 115-nucleotide ribosomal RNA is filed under the name Roseimicrobium sp. ORNL1. The record is from RNAcentral. Lineage: Bacteria; Pseudomonadati; Verrucomicrobiota; Verrucomicrobiia; Verrucomicrobiales; Verrucomicrobiaceae.